UACGGGGGGGGCAAGCGUUGUUCGGAAUUACUGGGCGUAAAGGGCGCGUAGGCGGUUCGCUAAGUUGAAUGUGAAAACUCUGGGCUUAACCCAGGGCCUGCAUCCAAAACUGGCGAACUGGAGUACUGGAGGGGAAAGCGGAAUUCCUGGUGUAGCGGUGAAAUGCGUAGAUAUCAGGAGGAACACCGGUGGCGAAGGCGGCUUUCUGGACAGUAACUGACGCUGAGGCGCGAAAGCCGGGGGAGCAAACAGG
This 253-nucleotide ribosomal RNA is filed under the name uncultured bacterium. RNAcentral's name for it is "partial 16S ribosomal RNA". It matches the Rfam family "Bacterial small subunit ribosomal RNA", at positions 524 to 776 of the family's 1533-position model. The record is from RNAcentral.